UACAGAGGGUGCAAGCGUUGUUCGGAAUUACUGGGCGUAAAGGGCGCGUAGGCGGUUUAGCAAGUCAGAUGUGAAAGCCCGGGGCUUAACUCCGGAAUUGCAUUUGAAACUGCUAGGCUAGAGUGCAGUAGAGGAUGGCGGAAUACCUAGUGGAGAGGUGAAAUUCGUAGAUAUUAGGUGGAACACCGGUGGCGAAGGCGGCCAUCUGGGCUGUAACUGACGCUGAGGCGCGAGAGCGUGGGGAGCAAAC
This 250-nucleotide ribosomal RNA is filed under the name uncultured bacterium. Its description in RNAcentral is "partial 16S ribosomal RNA". It matches the Rfam family "Bacterial small subunit ribosomal RNA", at positions 524 to 773 of the family's 1533-position model. The record is from RNAcentral.